Notothenia coriiceps (black rockcod) is the source of this 1700-nucleotide long non-coding RNA. RefSeq lists it as uncharacterized. The record is from RefSeq and is a predicted model, not a curated record. The transcript has 3 exons. Lineage: Eukaryota; Metazoa; Chordata; Actinopteri; Perciformes; Nototheniidae.
ACAGAGGCCCCGGACACGGGUUACUGCAACAGCGGGAGCACCUCCUGGGAUUGGAGAUACUGGAGUGCGAAACAAACGCACACACAGAAGGAGCCAUUAUUAAAUGGAGCAUUCACUGGAGGUUCUGCUACCCGACUCCCGAUAUAAACAACAGGGGUUAGACAUUAAACUGUUGAGUUACUCAUCUUCAAAACUACGGUUAAACAGUGGCUAAAGUUCAGUGAGUCCUAAGAAACUAAACAUAAGGCAGAUGGGAACAGUUCAAUCAGUAACUGUCCUCAUCGCCAGCAGACAGACAGGACGCUGAAAUAGUUUGAGUAACACUUCCACAUUUGAGAUGUCCCAUGUGAAUGUCAACAAGAGGCAAAAUAUUCACUACAAGACAUUUUUGUUUCCAUUUCACAAAGUCCCAAUCCUAAUCCCUGUAACCUUUGGAAAAAUAGGCUAGUUGUUCACGUAAGAAGCUUGACGUCUUUACUUCCAAAACCAGAUUUGUGUGGGGUAACUUUAAGCUUGUCACAUGAUUUCUAGAGGAAGGCCGCCAGAGGAUCAGGCUCUUAUUUGUCUAAAAAUCUGCCUACUUCAGUACUGCUGCACUAACAAUGUCCCCCCCAGGCUACCACAGACAAACAACCGUUUAGCAGGUGAGCUGAGCUAUAUUAAUUUAGAGGCCAGCCAAUGAGCUCUGUAGAAUUAGCUUGGCUUACCGGCGCAGAUGUCUGUUUGUACGGUUGCAUUCAUUUACAGCAUUGUGGGUAGGUCUAUUCUCAGGGUUCAUAUCGGGAACCUAUCCCAUUAGCAGCGUUACCACAGCGAUGCAAAUGCUCUCACACAAACUCACUGAUGCUCUCCUACGCAAAUGUCACCUCUAUGCUAUAUGUGGAGCAGUGUGUGAAAAACAUUGUCACUCACAUAACUCAGGCUAACCAAGUGCACACCCAUGUUGUAUUGGCUAAGACAGCUGCUCUGGUCACAUGAGUGAUGAUUCUCUCAAGCUUCUGCUGCUGCAUAAGAGCACCUUUGUCAUGUAUGAAUACCAUACAAAAAACACUUAUCUCUAGGGGGGGAUAUCAUAAUGCAAGUAUCAUUGCUUCAGAUGCUCUUUAAACUAUGGAUAAAAAGAGAAAACUGUGUCAAAUGAUCGCAACAUAUUUUACACAAUGUAUGAAAACAUAUAUGCUGUUAUUGCAAAAAAUCUCCUGGGUAAACAGUCAUCGCUGGACUCAAAAUUACCCAUACCACCCCCCCUCGCAGUGCAGUGGAAAUUUCCUACGAGUCCUUCACCACACAAACAGCCUCGACAAAAAAUCAUGUUAGGACACGAAAUAGAUUAAAACACCACAAAGGUAAUAAUUCACAGGUUGUGUAAAAUUAUGCUGCAUAUUUUCAGUAGGGUCAACCCCACUCUAUAAUCUUAUUUCCAGUCAAUGAAUACAUUUAAAUUGGAAAUUCCCCAACAAAUAAGCAGUCUCCGGCUGGAGUCCAAUGGCUGGCAGAGGCUCACACAAUGGAGCAAAGGAGCAUGGUGCAUGGUGCAGGUUGUGUUUAACGCCGUCUCUGGUGCCUGCAGAACUGAAAACACUGUCAAAACAACCUCCUUCACUUCAAUACUGAGACACAACUGAAGGCUCAAAUCAGCUAUUAAUAUAGGAGUACAGGAAUUAAGGAGGGAGCGUUGGAGUGUCUGAAAACAUCAUAAG